UAUAUUUUAGUGUAUGAUGCACAUAAGUUUUUGAUACUUUUAGAAUUGGUUUAAUUCCAUUAAAUAUAA
Molecule: transfer RNA, 69 nt
Filed under: Epistrophe zibaiensis
Lineage: Eukaryota; Metazoa; Arthropoda; Insecta; Diptera; Syrphidae
Description: tRNA-Gln
Rfam family: tRNA
About the family: Transfer RNA (tRNA) molecules are approximately 80 nucleotides in length. Their secondary structure includes four short double-helical elements and three loops (D, anti-codon, and T loops).
Source: RNAcentral